UACAGAGGUGGCAAGCGUUGUUCGGAAUUACUGGGCGUAAAGGGCGCGUAGGCGGUCUUUUAGGUCUUGUGUGAAAUCCCUCGGCUCAACUGAGGAACUGCACGGGAUACUGGAAGACUUGAGUUCGGGAGAGGGAAGCGGAAUUCCGGGUGUAGCGGUGAAAUGCGUAGAUAUCCGGAGGAACACCGGUGGCGAAGGCGGCUUCCUGGACCGAUUACUGACGCUGAGGCGCGAAAGCUAGGGGAGCAAACGGG
This 254-nucleotide ribosomal RNA is filed under the name uncultured bacterium. RNAcentral's name for it is "partial 16S ribosomal RNA". It matches the Rfam family "Bacterial small subunit ribosomal RNA", at positions 524 to 776 of the family's 1533-position model. The record is from RNAcentral.